GAUGAAGAACGUAGCGAAAUGCGAUAAGUAAUGUGAAUUGCAGAAUUCAGUGAAUCAUCGAAUCUUUGAACGCACAUUGCGCCCGCCAGUAUUCUGGCGGGCAUGCCUGUUCGAGCGUCAUUACAACCCUCAGGCCCCCGGGCCUGGCGUUGGGGAUCGGCGGAGCCCCCCGUGGGCACACGCCGUCCCCCAAAUACAGUGGCGGUCGCGCCGCAGCUUCCAUCGCGUAGUAGCUAACACCUCGCGACUGGAGAGCGGCGCGGCCACGCCGUAAAACACCCAACUCUUCUGAAGUUGACCUCGAAUCAGGUAGGAAUACCCGCUGAACUUAAGCAUAUCAAUAAGCGGAGGA
Molecule: unclassified non-coding RNA, 352 nt
Filed under: soil metagenome
Description: partial contains 5.8S ribosomal RNA, internal transcribed spacer 2, and large subunit ribosomal RNA
Rfam family: 5.8S ribosomal RNA (bases 1-120)
Source: RNAcentral